CGGCGGACGGGUGAGUAACGCGUGGGCAACCUGCCUCACACAGGGGGAUAACAGUUAGAAAUGACUGCUAAUACCGCAUAAGACCACGAAACCGCAUGGUUUUGAGGUAAAAACUCCGGUGGUGUGAGAUGGGCCCGCGUCUGAUUAGGUAGUUGGUGCGGUAACGGCGCACCAAGCCGACGAUCAGUAGCCGACCUGAGAGGGUGACCGGCCACAUUGGGACUGAGACACGGCCCAAACUCCUACGGGAGGCAGCAUG
RNAcentral lists this ribosomal RNA (259 nucleotides) under uncultured bacterium. RNAcentral's name for it is "partial 16S ribosomal RNA". It matches the Rfam family "Bacterial small subunit ribosomal RNA", at positions 96 to 353 of the family's 1533-position model. The record is from RNAcentral.